This 253-nucleotide ribosomal RNA is filed under the name uncultured bacterium. Its description in RNAcentral is "partial 16S ribosomal RNA". It matches the Rfam family "Bacterial small subunit ribosomal RNA", at positions 524 to 776 of the family's 1533-position model. The record is from RNAcentral.
GACAGAGGGUGCGAACGUUGUUCGGAAUUACUGGGCGUAAAGCGCGUGUAGGCGGCCCGGCAAGUCGGAUGUGAAAUCCCUCGGCUCAACUGGGGAAGUGCAUCCGAAACUACCGGGCUAGAGUGUCGGAGAGGGAAGUGGAAUUCCCGGUGUAGAGGUGAAAUUCGUAGAUAUCGGGAGGAACACCAGUGGCGAAGGCGGCUUCCUGGACGAACACUGACGCUGAGACGCGACAGCGUGGGGAGCAAACAGG